Molecule: non-coding RNA, 30 nt
Filed under: Homo sapiens (human)
Lineage: Eukaryota; Metazoa; Chordata; Mammalia; Primates; Hominidae
Source: RNAcentral
UCCUGGUAAACCCAGGGGACUUAGGCUAAC